RNAcentral lists this long non-coding RNA (3586 nucleotides) under Homo sapiens (human). RNAcentral describes it as "non-protein coding lnc-LIMS2-2:1". The record is from RNAcentral. Lineage: Eukaryota; Metazoa; Chordata; Mammalia; Primates; Hominidae.
GGGCAGCAGCCCCUUGCUGGGCGGGAAGAGGCCCGUGCACAGCCACAGCAGCUGCCAGCCCCGCUCUUCGCUGUGCCUGAAGGGUAGCACUUGUCAGCCGGGAAAGGCCCCUCAGGGGGCCCUGGCCAGGCAGGCACCUUGGGGAGCAGGGACGGAUGUGAGAGCUGCCUGGGGUCUAGAGGGCCCGAGGGGGAGGGCACCUGCCAGGCUGCACCAUGCCAGCUGUGCCAGGCUGCCCGAUGCCACGGGCUUUCACACCCUCAAGAUGGGGGCGGGUGGGCAUUGCACCCAUUUUGUGGAAGACGACACUGAAGCUCAGAGAGGUCAUGGCCUGCCAGGUCACACACAGAGGGUGGGAGUGGGCAGGGCCAUCCUCUCCUGCUCUGACCACCCCUAGGACAUCAGCAGAGCAGACCAAGGGCCCAACCCUUCCCACUGCUGAGGCAGGAGCCCAGGCAGGGGUUCUGCCGCCACCAGCUGCGGUGUCCUCUCUGAGCCUCGGUCUGGCCUCAGGGGCCGGGAUGAGGACUGAGGGUGCCCGCGUGGGCUGGCCGCCGCCCCAGCAGACCUGUUGGAGUUGUGCGUCAGCUGCUUCAGGAUCUGGCAGUAGACCUCGUCCUGGAGGGCCGGGUGCUGCAGGGCCAGUGUGAAGAUCUGGUCGGUGAGCUCCAGGGUGGGCCAGGCCUGCCGAGAAGGGUAGUCGCCCAUGUACCGGAGGAUGGGUGUGGCUGUCAAGGAGCACAGUGCUGGGGCAGCCCCACGCUGACACAGACUGGGGAUAGACGCUGACCCCGACCCCGGCCCUGCGGUGAGCCAUGUGUGGGCUCUGUCCCGCCACUCCAGGUUUCUCAGAUCUCCUGGGCUCUCCUGCCCUAGAGCACAGCUGUAGGGCCAGGAUGUGCUGGGUGCCUCUGCCCUGGCAUUGACGAGGUGCAGGCAGGCUGGUGGGGAAGGAUAUCGACAAAGAUCUGGCAGGCGAUGUCCCAGAGGUCGACGUUGGCGUGGACUCGCUUGAGCAGCGGCUGUCGCAGCGGCUCGCAGGAAUAGGCCCACAGGUGGCCACGGGCACGGGCCAGGGGCAGCACGGCCAUGCUCACCAUGUCCUUCUCUGGAGCCCUGUGAGGUUAGAGGCUGGUGUGAGGCCUGCCCUGUGGCCUUCUCUGUCCCACGCUUCUCUGUCCUCUGACACCCCUGAGUGGCUGUGGGAGGGCCAGAGCACCCCACCCUGCCGCAAGCCCCUCCUGACUCCCCUGGCCUGGGAAGGCCAGGCAGGCUCCACAUGGGUGGCGUGGCCUCUCUGCAGCUCUCAGUGGGUGCAAUGAGGUGGAGCGGGGCUGGGAGCAGGGGGUGCAAUGAGGUGAGGUGGGGCUGGGAGGUGGGGGUGCAAUGAGGCGGAGCGGGGCUGGGGGGCACCUGAAGAACUCAUAGGAGAACUCCUCCAGGGUGUGCAGCUUUUCCUUGGGUGGCUCCUCAGGACGUGGCUCUGUGAACUGCCCCUCCUGAGCCGCCAGCUUCCUCUUCUCUGGUGACAUGGCAAGCAAGCUCUGAAGGGGGCACAGGCCUGUGGGUGCCCAGGAGCCACCGCCCAUGAGGCCCUUCCUGCAGGCUCCUCCCGGCCUGGCAGCCUCAGUGACUUGGGAGGGGUCAGGCCCAGGGCUGAACAGGCCAGGGCUUACCCACACCCCUGUCACCUGCCGUGUGACCCAGGACCAUGACUCUACCUCUUGGUGCCUGUCUCCUUUCCCUUGGGAGGAUGAAACCGAGGCAUAGAGUGGUGGGCAGAAGACCACUCCAAGAGUGAGCGAUGGUGGGACUGGAACCUCAGGGGCCUCAGACGGCUGUCACCUGCUGCAGCUGCACAGGCACAGAGCCCAGGGGCCAUGGCGAAAAUGGACCUCUCCUUCAGGCCCUCCAGGAACAGGGCCACCAGCUCAGCGAUGGCCACACUGCUGGGUGACACAAACUCGUACUCCUCAUGCAUCGUGGAGAGCAGCAGCCUCUGCCCGCCCUGGGCCUCCCUGGAGAUGAAGGACAGCGUGACCAGGAGCCCCCUCCACCUUCCCCUGAUCCAGCCCCUAAACAGCCUCGGGAGGUGGGGUUGGGGGUCCUGAGUCACAGAUGAGGACACAGAGCUGCUCUGCCAGGGCCAGGACUAGGCCAGACACCACUGUGGGUCUGGACAAAUGAAGGACGGCGGAGCACAGGACCUCUCGGAGGCUGAGAGUGGUGCAGCCCAUGUGUGGGGUUGGCUGUGGGCAGAUAAUGAGGUGGCUGGUGUGCAGUGACACCGCAGGGACACUGCAAAGGUCAGAGCUGAGAUGAGCUGCCGGCUCUGCCAUGUGCUUACUCUGAGCCACCUAACCUCGGCGUGCUUCAGUUUACUCAUCCGCUCAUCUGCAGAAUGGGUGAUGCUGUCGGUACUUCGUGGCAUACAGGAAAGUGCCCAGCAUGGUCAGCCUCAGUGAGAGGUGGCCAGUGGGGAGUGGUGGCCACUGUACACCUGGCACAGCCCAGAGAUGCAUGUGCCACUCUGUUGUGUGCUUCAACCAAGGGGCGCUCUGGCAGGGCUUGGGUGGGACUUCCCAAAGGGCAUGGAAAAGUUCCCAGUCAAUGAGAUCCAUGGAGACCCAUGGGAGUGGGGGUCAGCCCCAGCCUAAGAGGACCCCCAGCCCUGCCCUGUGCCCCAGGACACACCAGGCACUGUCCCUUGUCGCCUUCCCAGACAACCUGUACCCUCCAGGCCACCAGUUCUCGUCCAUGACAAAGAAAGGAGCCUUCUAAAUAAGUGCCCGCCAGAGGCUGCACGCUUCCCUGCCCCUUCCGGGUGGACCUGGGUUUCAAAGAGAAGCUGCCAGUGCAACGCGUGAUGCCCCAAUGGAGUACUUCAUGGGCAGUACGGCCUGGUGCAGGAGGGUGGGGCUCCGAAGUACAGAAGCCAUCGCAUACGUAGAUUCUUGUCCCUCCACCCCGGCCUGUUACCCGGGACGGCACACUGCCCCUCUCCCCAUCUCUCCCCGAGCCCCCAGAUGCAUCACAAGGACUCAGUGUGUAAGAAGAGAUCUUCCCUCAGGGCCCGCACCUGUUGGUGGCCAGACCCAUGACCUCUGGGAAAGAGAGUUCCAGCAGCAUCUUCUCCUGCUGGUCCAGGAAGCAAAGCCCCUUCCAGUUAACAGCCAAGAUCAGCUGCGUCUUGGGCAGGCGGGGGCCUGGCCAGGAGAGACGGCAGUGUGAAGGCUGCAUGGGACCCCUGGGUGCCCAGCCCAUACCUGCUCCCUGCCCCCUGUCAGAUGCCAUUACCUGAGAGUGUGAUGACUUCGAAGAGCCGGGAGAAGAGCAGCGGCCACUGCAGGCGGGCGGCGUCCACCACCUGCUCUCGCACGGCCAGUGGUGUGACUUGCUUCUGAGUGUAUGGGGCCUGAGGGGGGAUCCUGGAUGUCACCUCCGUCACCUGCCUUCCCUAGUGAAUCCCUCACCUAGUGCUCAGGGUAAAAGAGUUGAUGGAUCCUUCUGAGAAGGCUCUACAAGGCCAGUGUCUGGAGAUGGAUCCUGUAGGGAGGCACCUGGGACGUCCCCAGGGACUGGUGCA